GCGGGUGUAGCUGAGCGGUACAGCGUCUGCCUUCCAAGCAGAAGAUCAUGGGUUCGAAUCCCAUCGCCCGCU
This 72-nucleotide transfer RNA is filed under the name Chloroflexota bacterium. RNAcentral describes it as "tRNA-Gly". It matches the Rfam family "tRNA". Rfam says of the family: Transfer RNA (tRNA) molecules are approximately 80 nucleotides in length. Their secondary structure includes four short double-helical elements and three loops (D, anti-codon, and T loops). Lineage: Bacteria; Bacillati; Chloroflexota. The record is from RNAcentral.